GAUGAACGCUGGCGGCGUGCCUAACACAUGCAAGUCGAACGGAGUCGUUUUGGAAAUCUCUUCGGAGAUGGAAUUCUCGACUUAGUGGCGGACGGGUGAGUAACGCGUGAGCAAUCUGCCUUUAAGAGGGGGAUAACAGUCGGAAACGGCUGCUAAUACCGCGUAAAGCAUUAAAUUCGCAUGUUUUUGAUGCCAAAGGAGCAAUCCGCUUUUAGAUGAGCUCGCGUCUGAUUAGCUAGUUGGCGGGGUAACGGCCCACCAAGGCGACGAUCAGUAGCCGGACUGAGAGGUUGAACGGCCACAUUGGGACUGAGACACGGCCCAGACUCCUACGGGAGGCAGCAGUGGGGAAUAUUGCGCAAUGGGGGAAACCCUGACGCAGCAACGCCGCGUGAUUGAAGAAGGCCUUCGGGUUGUAAAGAUCUUUAAUCAGGGACGAAACAAAUGACGGUACCUGAAGAAUAAGCUCCGGCUAACUACGUG
RNAcentral lists this ribosomal RNA (483 nucleotides) under uncultured bacterium. RNAcentral describes it as "partial 16S ribosomal RNA". It matches the Rfam family "Bacterial small subunit ribosomal RNA", at positions 28 to 507 of the family's 1533-position model. The record is from RNAcentral.